AUCACAUAUGUAAAGACAACAUGCAGACAGCCUGUUGUCUUUCCUAAUUAAACAUUAAAGGAGCUAACUCCAAAUAAUCUUGGGGGUACUACAUAUGUAAUAGCUGGAAGUCCUUUUCUUUUUUUUUUAGUUUUAAAUUUUCUCGCAUCUUAUUCUUUAUCUUCUGCUUAGGCUGCAGCUUAAAAAUUUGUAAUAUGACGAGGUUUAAAAUUAGAUAUCAU
RNAcentral lists this long non-coding RNA (221 nucleotides) under Carica papaya (papaya). Its description in RNAcentral is "long non-coding RNA (CPAP_LNC016059)". Lineage: Eukaryota; Viridiplantae; Streptophyta; Magnoliopsida; Brassicales; Caricaceae. The record is from RNAcentral.